GAUGAAGAACGCAGCGAAAUGCGAUAAGUAAUGCGAAUUGCAGAAUUCCGUGAAUCAUCGAAUCUUUGAACGCACAUUGCGCCCCCUGGUAUUCCGGGGGGCAUGCCUGUUCGGGCGUCAUUUCACCACUCAAGCCUCGCUUGGUAUUGGGCAACGCGGUCCGCCGCGUGCCUCAAAUCGACCGGCUGGGUCUUCUGUCCCCUAAGCGUUGUGGAAACUUUCGCUAAAGGGUGUUCGGGAGGCUACGCCGUAAAACAACCCCAUUUCUAAGGUUGACCUCGGAUCAGGUAGGGAUACCCGCUGAACUUAAGCAUAUCAAUAAGCGGAGGA
RNAcentral lists this unclassified non-coding RNA (330 nucleotides) under soil metagenome. Its description in RNAcentral is "partial contains 5.8S ribosomal RNA, internal transcribed spacer 2, and large subunit ribosomal RNA". The stretch from base 1 to 120 matches the Rfam family "5.8S ribosomal RNA", at positions 35 to 154 of the family's 154-position model. The record is from RNAcentral.